GAUGUACUCCCUCCGUUCGGAAUUACUCGUCCAAUAAAUGAAUGUAUCUAGAUGUAUUUUAAUUGUAGAUACAUUCAUUUUUAUCCAUUUUUGUGAUAAAUAAUUCCGAACGGAGGGAGUACCUC
Molecule: non-coding RNA, 125 nt
Organism: Triticum aestivum (bread wheat)
Lineage: Eukaryota; Viridiplantae; Streptophyta; Magnoliopsida; Poales; Poaceae
Source: Rfam